Molecule: long non-coding RNA, 2118 nt
Filed under: Homo sapiens (human)
Lineage: Eukaryota; Metazoa; Chordata; Mammalia; Primates; Hominidae
Description: HSALNT0231231
Source: RNAcentral
GCUUCAAUUAAAAGUUCAAAGAAGGCUGGGCGCAGUGGCUCCUAUUACACUGUACAUUGUGCCCCAUGCAGUUCUUGUAUCCAACUCCAGGUCAUACAUUCGCUUCCAAAAUAACCAUCCUCUUUGUCUAAUUCCAACUUACUCUUGAAAGCUCUUGGGUCUCAUCGAGACUGGAAAGAUCUCCCUGGACCACCCUGUUCCAGGCGGUACUCCCACAAAGAUGGCACUUUAUGAACAUUUUAUGAACACUAAGGAGUUUGGCAUAGAGUAGUUGCCCAGUAAACACUGAAUUAAUAAAUGAAUACAGGAAUGAAUGAAUGAUGAGUGAUAGAGUAGAAACUCAACAAAUAUUUGUUGAAUGAAUCAAUUGGUUAAAAGCAAAAAAUGUAUUGCCUCAUGUAACUAAAAAAUCCAGGGUAAGAGCUGAAUGUAUGAAUAAAUGGAUAGAUGAAUGGAUGGAAAGAUGAAUGGAUGGAUGGAAAGAUGGAAGAACUGAUGAACAGAUAGGUGGAUGGAUGGAGGGAUAAUGGAUGAAAGGAUGGAUGGACAGAUGGAAAGAAAGAUGGAAGGACUGAUGAACAGAUGGGUGGAUGGAUGGAUGGAUAAUGGAUGAAAGGAUGGAUGGACAGAUGGAAAGAAAGAUGGAAGGACUGAAGAACAGAUGGGUGGGUGGAUGGAUGCAUGGAUGAUGGAUAAUGGAUGGAAAGAUGGAUGGAUAGAUGGCUGGAUGAAAGGAAGGAAGGAGGCAUGGAUGGAUGAUGGAUGGAUAGAUACGUUAACUAAUAAACCUCUCCUCUUCCAGCAGUUUGGGAAGUUGGCCUUUGCAGGCCUGUUUUUCCAGAGGUUAAAGUUAUAUUUCAGUAGACAUAAUCCUAACCACUUUUACCAGGCACUUUAGAAAUUCUCGAACCUCAAAGGGAGACAGACGAGUGAUGCUAGGCUCCAGUGGAUAACGGGAAUGUCCUUAAAAGGAAACUGAGUACUUUUUUCUGUUAGAGAUUAACUUCCUAGUAAAUUGCAGCAUGCCUGCCACAGCUGGAGGUAGAUGAAGAAUUCUGUUUUUAAAAGCCCUCAGAGAACUUGAAUUUAAUUAAAUGAGCAUUUUAUUCCAUUCCAAAAGGAAGCAAAACAAACCACCCUGGUUCUGAACUUCGAAGGACCUAAAGCUUCCUUCCUUUGAUUUGGUAAAAAGCUGAGUGAGCUCUGCCCCUCAGGAGCUAGUGAAAUAAGGGCAGCCCCACCUCAAAGCCUCACCACCAGCUGCGAACUCUUUCCAUAGAGUCCUGAGUGUGGACAUUGCAAGCAGCUCUCACCAUGCACAGUCCUGUUUUGCAAGGUAAAUUUCCACUAGUAGGGAGGAGGGAGAAAAACAGAGUUGUCUUAAAAAAAAAAAAAAUUGAAAGGAGUUCCCAGAGCUUGGCCUAUCCCCAGUAAGCUGUGCAAAGAGGCCCCAAACUUCCUGAUCCCCAGCUGCAAGCCCAGGCCUGUUUCCUGGCCUGCAGCAAGCUUAGCACCCCUGGGACAGGGCAGGGCUUUGGGCCAGCUGACAGGGCCCCCAUCCCUCCUGCUCCUCCAGGCUCUGCUGAAGCAAAGGGAAGCUCUGUAGUCAAUUUCAGGCUGAACUGCUUUGCUUUUUGUGCCUCCUUCCUUAUUUUUUCCUCACCGCAGUUGCCUUAUUGCUCAAAAGAAUCUCAAUCAGUUUCUCAGGUUUUUAUGGCCAAAAAGAAGGGUCCUUUGCAGCACCUUACUGCUUCGCCCUCCCUUUCUCCCUCCCUGCCUCAUCCCUCAUUCCUCCAACUUCCUCGAUUUCUUCCUUUCCUUCUCGCCCACCCUCUCCCCAUUUUUCUCUUCCUCCCUCCUCCCUACCCCUUUUCCCUCACCCCUCUCCUUUCUCUCCCUUCCUCCCUCCGUCUCCCCUCUCCUUCUCUCCCUCUCCCAUUCUGCCUCUCCCCGCUCUUUCAUCUCCCUACCUCUUCCCUUUCUCUCCCUCUCCUUCUUUCCCUCCUCCCUCUCUUCCUCUGUUUCCCCUCCUCCUUUUUCUUCUUGCCCUCUCUCCUCCCUCCUCUUCUCCCUCUCCCUACCUCUUUCCUCUUUCUCUCCCUUCCCCCCUCCUCUCCC